Non-coding RNA from Gossypium hirsutum (cotton), 106 nucleotides. The record is from Rfam. NCBI's taxonomy places the organism in Eukaryota, Viridiplantae, Streptophyta, Magnoliopsida, Malvales, Malvaceae.
AUUCCGUGAUAAGGGCAUCUUCGUAAUAAUUCUUUAAAUCUUUCCCAUGCCUCAUACAAGGACUCUUCAUCCAUCUGUUGGAGGAUAGUGAUCUCAUUCCGUAACU